RNAcentral lists this ribosomal RNA (253 nucleotides) under uncultured bacterium. Its description in RNAcentral is "partial 16S ribosomal RNA". It matches the Rfam family "Bacterial small subunit ribosomal RNA", at positions 524 to 776 of the family's 1533-position model. The record is from RNAcentral.
UACGUAGGGGGCUAGCGUUGUCCGGAAUCAUUGGGCGUAAAGUGCGUGUAGGCGGUCCGGUAAGUCCGCUGUGAAAGUCGGGGGCUCAACCCUCGGAUGCCGGUGGAUACUGUCGGGCUUGAGUACGGAAGAGGCGAGUGGAAUUCCUGGUGUAGCGGUGAAAUGCGCAGAUAUCAGGAGGAACACCAAUUGCGAAGGCAGCUCGCUGGGACGUUACUGACGCUGAGACGCGAAAGCGUGGGGAGCAAACAGG